Molecule: transfer RNA, 67 nt
Filed under: Ixodes scapularis (black-legged tick)
Lineage: Eukaryota; Metazoa; Arthropoda; Arachnida; Ixodida; Ixodidae
Description: tRNA-Glu
Source: RNAcentral
CGCGUGGCCUAACGGUUAUCGCGCUUGCCUCUCACGCAGAAGGCCGGGGUUCGAUUCCUUGCAGCGG